GACGAACGCUGGCGGCGUGCCUAACACAUGCAAGUUGAGCGACGAACCAGGGCUUGCCCUGGGGCAAAGCAGCGAACGGGUGAGUAACACGUGGGUAACCUACCCCGAUAACCGGGACAACCCGAGGAAACUCGGGCUAAUACCGGAUGUGCUCACUGGACUUCGGUUCAGUGCGUAAAGGAAGCUUCGGCCUCCGUAUCGGGAGGGGCCAGCGGCCCAUUAGUUAGUUGGUGAGGUAACGGCUCACCAAGACCGCGAUGGGUAGCUGGUCUGAGAGGACGAUCAGCCACACUGGGACUGAGACACGGCCCAGACUCCUACGGGAGGCAGCAGUGGGGAAUCUUGCGCAAUGCGCGAAAGCGUGACGCAGCAACGCCGCGUGGGGGAAGAAGGCCUUCGGGUUGUAAACCCCUUUCAGGAGGGACGAAGGUUCGGCGGUGAAUAGCCGUCCGGACUGACGGUACCUGCACAAGAAGCCCCGGCUAACUACGUGCCAGCCGCCGCGGUAA
Molecule: ribosomal RNA, 509 nt
Filed under: uncultured bacterium
Lineage: Bacteria
Description: partial 16S ribosomal RNA
Rfam family: Bacterial small subunit ribosomal RNA
Source: RNAcentral